Molecule: transfer RNA, 72 nt
Filed under: Bos taurus (domestic cattle)
Lineage: Eukaryota; Metazoa; Chordata; Mammalia; Artiodactyla; Bovidae
Also listed under: 5 other names
Rfam family: tRNA
About the family: Transfer RNA (tRNA) molecules are approximately 80 nucleotides in length.
Source: Rfam by way of RNAcentral
UCCUUAGUGGCUCAGUUGGUAAAGAGUCCACCUGCAAUGCAGGUGACCCAGGUUCAAUCCCUGGUUUGGGAA